AGGUAAUGUCUCCUUACCUUUAUCGACGGAGGCACUCGGCCAUGUUGUGGGUCGUCAAUCAGCGAUGACCUUAGACGCGUCCGUUGUCAUUGAUGUGGCGUGAGGUGAGGUUCAAUGCCUC
This is a regulatory RNA element of 121 nucleotides. It matches the Rfam family "epsC RNA". The record is from Rfam.